Molecule: non-coding RNA, 45 nt
Organism: Schistosoma mansoni
Lineage: Eukaryota; Metazoa; Platyhelminthes; Trematoda; Strigeidida; Schistosomatidae
Source: Rfam
AUCCAGUUGAAGAGUCCGAAACAGGACGAAACACACUUCCUGAAU